UACGAAGGGGGCUAGCGUUGCUCGGAAUCACUGGGCGUAAAGCGCACGUAGGCGGCUUGUUAAGUCAGGGGUGAAAUCCUGGAGCUCAACUCCAGAACUGCCUUGAUACUGGCGAGCUUGAGUUCGGGAGAGGUGAGUGGAACUGCGAGUGUAGAGGUGAAAUUCGUAGAUAUUCGCAAGAACACCAGUGGCGAAGGCGGCUCACUGGCCCGAUACUGACGCUGACGGUGCGAAAGCG
This 238-nucleotide ribosomal RNA is filed under the name uncultured bacterium. RNAcentral's name for it is "partial 16S ribosomal RNA". It matches the Rfam family "Bacterial small subunit ribosomal RNA", at positions 524 to 761 of the family's 1533-position model. The record is from RNAcentral.